GGCCUUGCCUGUCACUUUUGCCAGGGGCGAGGGUCGCGGAGGGGACAGCAUCAGGGCGGCUGGGGUGGGGACGGCUGGAGAGGCGCAAACUUUACUAGGAGUUUUUGGCACUUGGAGGCAGAGCCCGUUGGGCGGCACAGCACGCCCGCCGGGAAACGCAGAGGAGCGGCCUGCUUGGCUGAAAACCCGACCAGGACCUAACGGGCCGCGGGACAGAAGCCUCCGAGACCAUGGCACGCAGCGACUACCACAGCCCACUCUUCAACCCCUGAUUCUUCGUCCCCGCCCCACAGCGCGGUAUAAGUAGGGCCCGAAACACAAUUGGCAACCGCAGUAGCCAAUCUACUUGCCAACCUCACUUUGACAGCCCAAUCACGAUGAAGAGGAGGCGGGGAGACCACGGUGUCUCCCUCUGUUGCCCAGGCUGCAGUGCAGUGGUGUGAUCUCAGCUCACUGAGACCUCUGCCUCCCAGGUUCAAGCGAUUCUCCUGUCUCAGCCGCCCCAGUAGCUGGGACUACAGAUGCAUGCCACCACGCCCAGCUAAUUUGUGUAUUUUUAGUAGAGACGGGGUUUCACCAUAUUGGUCAGGCUGGUCUCGAACUCCUGACCUCAGGUGAUCUACCCACCUCAGCCUCCCAAAGUGCUGGGAUUACAGGCGUGAGCCACUGCGCCUGGCCCGAUAGAGGUACGUUUGUCAAGCUAAUGUAUAGCUGCGGACCAACUGUAUAUGAUCAUGCGCACCUUGGCCAUGCUUG
RNAcentral lists this small RNA (756 nucleotides) under Pongo abelii (Sumatran orangutan). Its description in RNAcentral is "processed transcript". The record is from RNAcentral. Lineage: Eukaryota; Metazoa; Chordata; Mammalia; Primates; Hominidae.